AUACUACGUUCCCUCUGUGAUAAGUAAUGUAAAGCAAUCUCA
Molecule: small RNA, 42 nt
Filed under: Vibrio cholerae O1 biovar El Tor str. N16961
Lineage: Bacteria; Pseudomonadati; Pseudomonadota; Gammaproteobacteria; Vibrionales; Vibrionaceae
Source: RNAcentral